GGUUCUAUAGUGUAGUGGUUAGCACGUCUGCUUUACAUGUAGAAGGCCCUGGGUUCACGCCCCAGUGGAGCCA
This is a non-coding RNA of Pteropus alecto (black flying fox), 73 nucleotides long. Lineage: Eukaryota; Metazoa; Chordata; Mammalia; Chiroptera; Pteropodidae. The record is from Rfam.